This 72-nucleotide transfer RNA is filed under the name Bos taurus (domestic cattle). It matches the Rfam family "tRNA". From Rfam's summary of the family: Transfer RNA (tRNA) molecules are approximately 80 nucleotides in length. Their secondary structure includes four short double-helical elements and three loops (D, anti-codon, and T loops). Further hydrogen bonds mediate the characteristic L-shaped molecular structure. tRNAs have two regions of fundamental functional importance: the anti-codon, which is responsible for specific mRNA codon recognition, and the 3' end, to which the tRNAs corresponding amino acid is attached (by aminoacyl-tRNA synthetases). tRNAs cope with the degeneracy of the genetic code in two manners: having more than one tRNA (with a specific anti-codon) for a particular amino acid; and 'wobble' base-pairing, i.e. permitting non-standard base-pairing at the 3rd anti-codon position. Lineage: Eukaryota; Metazoa; Chordata; Mammalia; Artiodactyla; Bovidae. RNAcentral also lists the same sequence under 2 other names. The record is from Rfam by way of RNAcentral.
UCCCUGGUGGCUCAGACGGUAAAGUGUCUGCCUACAAUGCAGGAGACCCAGGUUCGAUUCCUGGGUGGGGAA